CCGGGGCUAAUACCGGAUAUGAAAUCUGCGGGCAUCCGCGGAUUUGGAAAGUUUUUCGGUUGGAGAUGAUCUCGCGGCCUAUCAGCUUGUUGGUGAGGUAAUGGCUCACCAAGGCGACGACGGGUAGCCGGCCUGAGAGGGCGACCGGCCACACUGGGACUGAGACACGGCCCAGACUCCUACGGGAGGCAGCAGUGGGGAAUAUUGGGCAAUGGAGGAAACUCUGACCCAGCGACGCCGCGUGCGGGAUGAAGGCCUUCGGGUUGUAAACCGCUUUCAGCAGGGAAGAAGCGAAAGUGACGGUACCUGCAGAAGAAGCACCGGCUAACUAUGUGCCAGCAGCCGCGGUAAUACAUAGGGUGCAAGCGUUGUCCGGAAUUAUUGGGCGUAAAGAGCUCGUAGGUGGUUCGUCACGUCGGAUGUGAAACUCUGGGGCUUAACCCCAGACCUGGCAUUCGAUACGGGCGAGCUUGAGUAUGGUAGGGGAGUCUGGAAUUCCUGGUGUAGCGGUG
Molecule: ribosomal RNA, 512 nt
Filed under: uncultured Actinomycetes bacterium
Lineage: Bacteria; Bacillati; Actinomycetota; Actinomycetes
Description: bacterial SSU rRNA
Rfam family: Bacterial small subunit ribosomal RNA
Source: RNAcentral